RNAcentral lists this ribosomal RNA (253 nucleotides) under uncultured bacterium. RNAcentral's name for it is "partial 16S ribosomal RNA". It matches the Rfam family "Bacterial small subunit ribosomal RNA", at positions 524 to 776 of the family's 1533-position model. The record is from RNAcentral.
UACGUAGGGGGCAAGCGUUGUCCGGAAUCAUUGGGCGUAAAGAGCGUGUAGGCGGCCCGGUCAGUCGGUUGUGAAAGUCAGGGGCUCAACCCUUGAAUGCCGACCGAUACUGCCGGGCUAGAGUCCGGAAGAGGCGAGUGGAAUUCCUGGUAUAGCGGUGAAAUGCGCAGAUAUCAGGAGGAACACCAAUGGCGAAGGCAGCUCGCUGGGACGGUACUGACGCUGAGACGCGAAAGCGUGGGGAGCAAACAGG